This 399-nucleotide ribosomal RNA is filed under the name uncultured bacterium. RNAcentral describes it as "bacterial SSU rRNA". It matches the Rfam family "Bacterial small subunit ribosomal RNA", at positions 29 to 419 of the family's 1533-position model. The record is from RNAcentral.
AAUGAACGCUGGCGGCGCGCCUAAUACAUGCAAGUCGAGCGAGAAGACGUAGCAAUACGUUUGUAAAGCGGCGAACGGGUGAGGAAUACAUGGGUAACCUACCCUCGAGUGGGGAAUAACUAGCCGAAAGGUUAGCUAAUACCGCGUACGCUCCUUGGACUUCGGUUCAGGGAGGAAAGCGAUACCGUGGGUAUCGCGCUCUUGGUUGGGCUCAUGUCCUAUCAGCUUGUUGGUGAGGAACGGCUCACCAAGGCUUCGACGGGUAGCUGGUCUGAGAGGACGACCAGCCACACUGGGACUGAGACACGGCCCAGACUCCUACGGGAGGCAGCAGUGGGGAAUAUUGGACAAUGGGCGCAAGCCUGAUCCAGCGAUGCCGCGUGUGUGAAGAAGGCCUGC